CGGGAUGUAGUAUACCGGUAGUACGCGCGCUUCGGGUGCGUGUAGAGGGAGUUAGAUUCUCCCCAUCCCGACCA
Molecule: transfer RNA, 74 nt
Filed under: Candidatus Falkowbacteria bacterium CG_4_8_14_3_um_filter_36_11
Lineage: Bacteria; Candidatus Falkowiibacteriota
Description: tRNA-Pro
Rfam family: tRNA
About the family: Transfer RNA (tRNA) molecules are approximately 80 nucleotides in length. Their secondary structure includes four short double-helical elements and three loops (D, anti-codon, and T loops). Further hydrogen bonds mediate the characteristic L-shaped molecular structure. tRNAs have two regions of fundamental functional importance: the anti-codon, which is responsible for specific mRNA codon recognition, and the 3' end, to which the tRNAs corresponding amino acid is attached (by aminoacyl-tRNA synthetases). tRNAs cope with the degeneracy of the genetic code in two manners: having more than one tRNA (with a specific anti-codon) for a particular amino acid; and 'wobble' base-pairing, i.e. permitting non-standard base-pairing at the 3rd anti-codon position.
Source: RNAcentral